RNAcentral lists this long non-coding RNA (1094 nucleotides) under Equus asinus (donkey). RNAcentral describes it as "lncRNA (ENSEASG00005038225.1)". The record is from RNAcentral. Lineage: Eukaryota; Metazoa; Chordata; Mammalia; Perissodactyla; Equidae.
CACAAAAUACAGAUAACCAACAGGGUGGUUAAGAUGGUCCUUGCUCACUAAAAAUGGGUGGAUGCCUUGGCCAGAUGGCGAUGGCAGUGUGGGCUCUUCACUGACUGGUCUGCGUCAGAAUCUUGGUUUCCUCACAUAAGAAUUAAACAUAGAUUGUGGAGAAUUCUGUUUCUCCUGCAAGUGUUCCAAGUUCUAUCUUUAACAUUCUCUCUUUGCUUCCUGUAAUCCUGCAGAUCCAGGCAAAGGCUGGACCAUCAGAGGGGCUCUGAUGUUGCAUGCUGUGUGUGAAGCAUCUUCUGUUUCACCCUGGCAGUCAUGAUUCUCUUUGAGCUGCAGUUUGUUUUCUGUCUCUGGAAGUUCAUGGCAGAGAUUAGCCCUGAGCCAUCAUCUGCCGCCAAUCCUCCUCUUUUUUGCUGAGGAAGACUGCACCUGAGCUAACAUCUGUGCCCAUCUUCCUCUACUUUACAUGUGGGAUGCCUACCACAGCAUGGUUUACCAAGCGGUGCCAUGUCCACACCCGGGAUCUGAACCAGCGAACCCCGGGCCGCCAAAGCAGAAUGUGUGCACUUAACUGCUGAGCCACUGGACCGGCCCCCAAACAUCAUUCUUUUUAAAAAAUGUCAAUUAUUAUGUAUUUAUUCAUUCAGAAAAUCUAUAACUUUGUCAGAUCCCCUUACCUUCAUCCCAAACUAUAUUUUUAUUUGAAUAACAUUAAAUAUACAAAUACAUGUCAGAGAACUAAAUCAGUACAAUUUUUAGUUUUCAUCUAAGAAUAUUGAAUUAUUCUUUAACUUUAAGGAAGGACAUUAUAUCUAGGGAUGUUCAAUUUCAUAUUUGAAGUUUGGGCUCAUUUUUAUGUCUAUCAAGAUAAUGUUUAAUCUUAUUUUAACCAUCCACCUAUUUUAUAUUGGGUGUGUAACCCAAUCUGCUUAGCUUCAACAGUUUUGACGAGGAUGUCUUUACGUGUUCUGCAAAAUAAUUGUUAAAAGUGUUAGCGGGACAGAGCCAUGGAUACAAAGUCAUAUGAUGUAUGAAAUUUAGUGGCAAAGAUUUGGGAUCUAUUUAAGAGGUUCAAGUAAUCUCUAACUCUGUUU